UACGGAGGAUCCGAGCGUUAUCCGGAUUUAUUGGGUUUAAAGGGUGCGCAGGCGGGGGAUUAAGUCAGCGGUGAAAUUUUGCAGCUUAACGUGUAACAGUGCCGUUGAUACUGGGGAGCUAGGAUUUGGUUGCUGUGGGUGGAAUGUGUGGUGUAGCGGUGAAAUGCUUAGAGAUCACACAGAAUAUCGAUUGCGAAGGCAGCUCACAAAGCCAAGAUUGACGCUGAGGCACGAAAGUGUGGGGAUCAAACAGGAUUA
Molecule: ribosomal RNA, 258 nt
Filed under: uncultured prokaryote
Description: partial 16S ribosomal RNA
Rfam family: Bacterial small subunit ribosomal RNA
Source: RNAcentral